CAGAGGCCCCAAGCGUUACUGAGAAUCACUGGGUUUAAAGGGUGCGUAGGUGGUCCGUUAAGUCCGUUGUGAAAUCCCUGGGCUCAACCCAGGAAAUGCUUCGGAUACUGGCGGACUUGAGGCUAGUAGGGGUCACUGGAACUGACGGUGGAGCGGUGAAAUGCGUAGAUAUCGUCAGGAACGCCAAUGGUGAAGACAGGUGACUGGGCUAGUUCUGACACUGAGGCACGAAAGCGUGGGGACCAAACGGGAUUAGAUACCCCGGUAGUCCACGCCCUAAACGAUGCAGACUAGACUGCAGCGGGUUACACCCCGUUGCGGUCGGAGCGAAAUUGUUAAGUCUGCCACCUGGGAAGUACGGUCGCAAGGCUA
Molecule: ribosomal RNA, 372 nt
Filed under: uncultured organism
Description: bacterial SSU rRNA
Rfam family: Bacterial small subunit ribosomal RNA
Source: RNAcentral